Molecule: signal recognition particle RNA, 267 nt
Filed under: Paludifilum halophilum
Lineage: Bacteria; Bacillati; Bacillota; Bacilli; Caryophanales; Thermoactinomycetaceae
Description: Bacterial large signal recognition particle RNA
Rfam family: Bacterial large signal recognition particle RNA
About the family: The signal recognition particle (SRP) is a universally conserved ribonucleoprotein involved in the co-translational targeting of proteins to membranes. Archaeal SRP consists of a 7S RNA and homologues of the eukaryotic SRP19 and SRP54 proteins.
Source: Rfam by way of RNAcentral
CCGUGCUAGAUGGGGAGCUGGCGGUGCCCUGUAACCCGCAAUCCGCCUUAGCGGGGUCGAAUUCCUGUCCAAGGUCAUAUCCGUGUGGGGUCUGGUCCAUGCAUGAAGUGUUGACGAACAGGUCCUGCGCAACGGGAAUCUCUGAACCGUGUCAGGUCCUGACGGAAGCAGCACUAAGGAGACUCUCCCGUGUGCCGCAGGGGUGCCUGAUCCGAGCGGAUUGGAUGGAGUCCGCCCAGGCGGGAAUGAUCGACGACAGGUGCACGG